AACUGCGCUUAGAUGAAGACACUACAUUAUGUAUUAGUGUUGUGUUCACCAUGUAAGCGCUACAGAAAUGACUGCUCAAAGUGCAGUGUGCAAGUACUUAGUAAUGUAUUCUGCUCAUAGGGUAGCUACAUUUUUU
RNAcentral lists this small nucleolar RNA (136 nucleotides) under Bombyx mori (domestic silkworm). RNAcentral's name for it is "Bm_95". The record is from RNAcentral. Lineage: Eukaryota; Metazoa; Arthropoda; Insecta; Lepidoptera; Bombycidae.